AGAGUUUGAUCAUGGCUCAGGACGAACGCUGGCGGCGUGCUUAACACAUGCAAGUCGAACGGAAAGGCCCCUGCUUGCAGGGGUACUCGAGUGGCGAACGGGUGAGUAACACGUGGGUGAUCUGCCCUUCACUUCGGGAUAAGCCUGGGAAACUGGGUCUAAUACCGGAUAGGACCAAUCUUUAGUGUGGUUGGUGGAAAGUUUUUUCGGUGGAGGAUGAGCCCGCGGCCUAUCAGCUUGUUGGUGGGGUAAUGGCCUACCAAGGCGACGACGGGUAGCCGGCCUGAGAGGGUGGACGGCCACAUUGGGACUGAGACACGGCCCAGACUCCUACGGGAGGCAGCAGUGGGGAAUAUUGCACAAUGGGCGGAAGCCUGAUGCAGCGACGCCGCGUGAGGGAUGACGGCCUUCGGGUUGUAAACCUCUUUCGCUAGGGAAGAAGCCUUCGGGUGACGGUACCUGGAUAAGAAGCACCGGCUAACUACGUGCCAGCAGCCGCGGUAAUACGUAGGGUGCAAGCGUUGUCCGGAAUUACUGGGCGUAAAGAGCUCGUAGGUGGUUUGUCGCGUCGUCUGUGAAAUUCCGGGGCUUA
RNAcentral lists this ribosomal RNA (592 nucleotides) under uncultured bacterium. RNAcentral's name for it is "bacterial SSU rRNA". It matches the Rfam family "Bacterial small subunit ribosomal RNA", at positions 8 to 611 of the family's 1533-position model. The record is from RNAcentral.